RNAcentral lists this ribosomal RNA (975 nucleotides) under Neorotalia calcar. Its description in RNAcentral is "bacterial SSU rRNA". It matches the Rfam family "Eukaryotic small subunit ribosomal RNA", at positions 1160 to 1816 of the family's 1831-position model. Lineage: Eukaryota; Foraminifera; Rotaliida; Rotaliidae. The record is from RNAcentral.
AAGGGCACCACAAGAACGCGUGGAGCAUGUGGCUUAAUUUGACUCAACGCGGGAAAUCUUACCGGGUCCGGACACACUGAGGAUUGACAGGUGUUAUCCCAGUUAUUAACUGGGUGUUAAAUAUGCUAGUCCUUUCAUGAUUAUGUGAUAGGUGGUGCAUGGCCGUUCUUAGUUCGUGGAGUGAUCUGUCUGCUUAAUUGCGUUUCACUAAAGGCCCAUAUUAUAACGCAUGUAUUGCGGCGCUUUGACCCCUCUUAACUGAGCGUUGUGUCUUAGUUAGCUUAGCAUCAUGCAUUUGGGCCUUGAAAGCAACGAACGUGACCGCAACCUCUUGUUGCCUCUCAUACCAAAUACAUAUCACUUCGGUGCGUGUAUCAAAGAGGCCUUUUAAACUAGAGGGACCGCUGUUACUUUCUUAAACCAGAGGAAGGUUGCGGCAAUAACAGGUCUGUGAUGCCCUUAGAUGUUCCGGGCUGCACACGUGCUACGAUGAUUAUUGCAGUGAACAUCUCAUUUAUCAUACACCGCAUGCGCGAGUCCAUUUUUUCGGUUCGCCGCUUAAAAUGUGUAUCUCUGCGCGCGGUAAAGCCUGCUUCGAAAGUAAGUGGGUAAUCAAUUAGAAGUAAUGAUUUCCAUUAUUCGCACACAUAUAUACGGCAUCUUUACCCGGCCUGCCUUGUUGCAGUGUCUUUGUGUGUAUCGAUGUAUCUUACCGUAUGUGCAAUUGUCAAUUCAUGGUGGGGACAGACCAUUGUUAAUUGUUGGUCUCGGUCUUAACUAGGAAUGCCUUGUACGGGUCUUUGGUUCAACAAACCACCCGGAAUACGUCCCUGCCCUUUGUACACACCGCCCGUCGCUCUUACCGAUGGACUUCUCUGUGAGUUUGAGGGACUGGAACCCAUUCUAUGGAAACUUAAACGAACAGUGUGGUCUAAAGGAAAGAGAAGUCGUAACAAGGCAUCGGUAGGUGAACCU